CUGCGGAGGUCAUUAAUAGUGUCUCUGGCUUCGGUCAGCUGGGUUCAAUGUCUGUCAUCUCUUCGGAGAUGGCCAUCCACACACACCGUGAACUGUGACUUCGGUCAUCACAAACUUUUAGUAAUGAAUGCAAAAAUCACAACAAAAUAAAACUUUUAACAACAGAUCUCUUGGCUCUCGCAUCGGUGAAGAACGCAGCGAAAUGCUAAAAGUAAUGUGUUUUGAAGUUUUCUGUCACUCCUCGUAUCUUUGACCACCCUUUGUGUUUUUUGGUAUUCCAAAGGCUGUGCCUGUUUGAGUGUUACAAACCCGCCCUCCACUUGGGUUUUUCCCCGCGAGGGAGUGUCGUGGGUGUUCCCUUGCCAAAGUUUCCCCUUAAAAAAAUACGCACCUUGGAUAUAAAACUUUUCACCCUUUCGGGUGGAUAAUAACCCCACAUAACUCAUGAUC
RNAcentral lists this unclassified non-coding RNA (450 nucleotides) under Cryptococcus sp. B24. RNAcentral's name for it is "sequence contains ITS1, 5.8S rRNA gene, ITS2". The stretch from base 151 to 304 matches the Rfam family "5.8S ribosomal RNA". Lineage: Eukaryota; Fungi; Basidiomycota; Tremellomycetes; Tremellales; Cryptococcaceae. The record is from RNAcentral.